This 468-nucleotide ribosomal RNA is filed under the name uncultured bacterium. RNAcentral's name for it is "partial 16S ribosomal RNA". It matches the Rfam family "Bacterial small subunit ribosomal RNA", at positions 28 to 507 of the family's 1533-position model. The record is from RNAcentral.
GACGAACGCUGGCGGCGUGCUUAACACAUGCAAGUCGAACGGAAAGGCCCUGCUUUUGUGGGGUGCUCGAGUGGCGAACGGGUGAGUAACACGUGAGUAACCUCCCCUUGACUUUGGGAUAACUUCAGGAAACUGGGGCUAAUACCGGAUAGGAGCUCCUGCUGCAUGGUGGGGGUUGGUAAGUUUCGGCGGUUGGGGAUGGACUCGCGGCUUAUCAGCUUGUUGGUGGGGUAGUGGCUUACCAAGGCUUUGACGGCUAGCCGGCCUGAGAGGGUGACCGGCGACAUGGGGACUGCGAUACGGCCCAGAAGCGUACGGGAGGCAGCAGUGGGGAAUAUGGCAGAGUGGGCGGAAGCCUGAGGCAGCAACGCUGCGUGCGGGAUGACGGCCUACGGGUUGUAAACCGCUGUCGCCUGUGACGAAGCGUGAGUGACGGUAAUGGGUAAAGAAGCACCGGCUAACUACGUG